CCUACGGGAGGCUGCAGUGGGGAAUAUUGGACAAUGGGGGGAACCCUGAUCCAGCCAUGCCGCGUGUGUGAAGAAGGCCCUCGGGUUGUAAAGCACUUUCAGUGAGGAAGAACGCCUGGUGGUUAAUACCCAUCAGGAAAGACAUCACUCACAGAAGAAGCACCGGCUAACUCCGUGCCAGCAGCCGCGGUAAUACGGAGGGUGCGAGCGUUAAUCGGAAUUACUGGGCGUAAAGCGCGCGUAGGUGGCUUGAUAAGCCGGUUGUGAAAGCCCCGGGCUCAACCUGGGAACGGCAUCCGGAACUGUCAAGCUAGAGUGCAGGAGAGGAAGGUAGAAUUCCCGGUGUAGCGGUGAAAUGCGUAGAGAUCGGGAGGAAUACCAGUGGCGAAGGCGGCCUUCUGGACUGAAACUGACACUGAGGUGCGAAAGCGUGGGUAGCAAACAGGAUUAGAUACCCGUGUAGUC
This 465-nucleotide ribosomal RNA is filed under the name Vreelandella stevensii. Its description in RNAcentral is "partial 16S ribosomal RNA". It matches the Rfam family "Bacterial small subunit ribosomal RNA", at positions 338 to 795 of the family's 1533-position model. The record is from RNAcentral. Lineage: Bacteria; Pseudomonadati; Pseudomonadota; Gammaproteobacteria; Oceanospirillales; Halomonadaceae.